CUGUUCAAACAGACCAGAGCUGUUAGUCCACAUCCUGAGAAGUCCCUUCAGACGCUCCAACUGUACAGCACAGCAGCUGUAAAAUCUCUGGGUAAAGCAAUUGAACGUGGAUGGUGAAGGAUGCCUAGGAAGAAGAGAAGUGGAUUGUUUGCCAGGUCAAGGAUGGUAAUCUAAUCAAAUUAAAAUGAAUGCAAAUAGAAUCUUCAGAGCUUAUGAACAUUUGUUUUAGAAUCAUUGCAGAAUUCAUAAUAUAUUUAUAUUUAUAAUUAAUUCAGAAUUUAAGAAUUGGCUGCCUGUCAAGACAUCGAAUUGGCCACAACCCAAAGAGAGCUGAAUUAGAAUGACAGGAUCCAUCAAAUGGUCAGUGACCGGACUGGGUGGUCCGGGGCGUGACGUCUGAGACUAAGACUAAGAAGAUGCAGAACCUGUAAUGUAUAUUGGUACUCACUCUUCACUGCUGACGCCCAUGAGACCUGGAACAGACAAGAGGAAGAAAACAGACCAGAAAAGACAUCAGACAGUCCAUCUUAAAUGUUUUAUCGUAAGGGCUCAUCCACUUUUUUUCUUGAUGCAUGGAACAUUUAAAAUCAUCUGUAUAAUGCUGGUCCAGCACAGUGAAGACCAGAACACUGAAGAAAUAAGACCACACACAUUUACUAGCAUCUUGGUUAGUCUUAUAAGCAAAAUGAUAAACAUAAUGAACAAAUCAUUGCAUUAAGUUUAUAAACCUAUUUGCUGCACUUUUGCAUUAAAGCAGGAUAAAUAAAAAAAAAAAAAAAAAAAUCA
Long non-coding RNA from Cyprinus carpio (common carp), 786 nucleotides. NCBI's taxonomy places the organism in Eukaryota, Metazoa, Chordata, Actinopteri, Cypriniformes, Cyprinidae. The record is from Ensembl.